GGUUAAGCGACUAAGCGUACACGGUGGAUGCCUAGGCAAUCAGAGGCGAUGAAGGACGUGCUAAUCUGCGAAAAGCGUCGGUAAGGUGAUAUGAACCGCUAUAGCCGACGAUGUCCGAAUGGGGAAACCCAGUGCAAUUCGUUGCACUAUCGUUUGAUGAAUCCAUAGUCAAACGAGGCGAACCGAGGGAACUGAAACAUCUCAGUACCUCGAGGAAAAGAAAUCAACCGAGAUUCCCCUAGUAGCGGCGAGCGAACGGGGAGCAGCCCAGAGUCUUAAUCAGCAUCAGCAUCAGGAGAACGGUCUGGAAAGUCCGGCAGUAAAGGGUGAUAGCCCCGUAUCCGAAGGUGUUGGUGUUGUGAACUCGACGAGUAGGGCGGGACACGUGUUAUCCUGUCUGAAUAUGGGGGGACCAUCCUCCAAGGCUAAAUACUCCUGAUUGACCGAUAGUGAACCAGUACCGUGAGGGAAAGGCGAAAAGAACCCCGGCGAGGGGAGUGAAAUAGAACCUGAAACCGUGUACGUACAAGCAGUGGGAGCACCUUUUAGGUGUGACUGCGUACCUUUUGUAUAAUGGGUCAGCGACUUAUAUUCUGUAGCAAGGUUAACCGUAUAGGGGAGCCGUAGGGAAACCGAGUCUUAACUGGGCGAUUAAGUUGCAGGGUAUAGACCCGAAACCCGGUGAUCUAGCCAUGGGCAGGUUGAAGGUUGGGUAACACUAACUGGAGGACCGAACCGACUAAUGUUGAAAAAUUAGCGGAUGACUUGUGGCUGGGGGUGAAAGGCCAAUCAAACCGGGAGAUAGCUGGUUCUCCCCGAAAGCUAUUUAGGUAGCGCCUCGUGAACUCAUCUUCGGGGGUAGAGCACUGUUUCGGCUAGGGGGUCAUCCCGACUUACCAACCCGAUGCAAACUACGAAUACCGAAGAAUGUUAUCACGGGAGACACACGGCGGGUGCUAACGUUCGUCGUGAAGAGGGAAACAACCCAGACCGCCAGCUAAGGUCCCAAAGUCAUGGUUAAGUGGGAAACGAAGUGGGAAGGCUCAGACAGCCAGGAUGUUGGCUUAGAAGCAGCCAUCAUUUAAAGAAAGCGUAAUAGCUCACUGGUCGAGUCGGCCUGCGCGGAAGAUGUAACGGGGCUAAACCAUGCACCGAAGCUGCGGCAGCGACAUGUAAAUGUUGUUGGGUAGGGGAGCGUUCUGUAAGCCUGUGAAGGUGUGCUGCGAGGCAUGCUGGAGGUAUCAGAAGUGCGAAUGCUGACAUAAGUAACGAUAAUGCGGGUGAAAAACCCGCACGCCGGAAGACCAAGGGUUCCUGUCCAACGUUAAUCGGGGCAGGGUGAGUCGACCCCUAAGGCGAGGCAGAAAUGCGUAGUCGAUGGGAAACAGGUUAAUAUUCCUGUACUGGUGAUAAUUGCGAUGGGGGGACGGAGAAGGCUAGGCUGGCCGGGCGACGGUUGUCCCGGUUUAAGGAUGUAGGCAGGUGAAUUAGGCAAAUCCGGUUCACUACAUGCUGAGGUCUGAUGACGAGUCACUACGGUGGCGAAGUAGCUCAUGCCCCGCUUCCAGGAAAAGCCUCUAAGCUCUAGAUUAUCAUUAAUCGUACCCCAAACCGACACAGGUGGUCAGGUAGAGAAUACUCAGGCGCUUGAGAGAACUCGGGUGAAGGAACUAGGCAAAAUGGUGCCGUAACUUCGGGAGAAGGCACGCUGGCGCUAGGUGAAGUCCCUCGCGGAUGGAGCUGAAGCCAGUCGCAGAUACCAGCUGGCUGCAACUGUUUAUUAAAAACACAGCACUGUGCAAACACGAAAGUGGACGUAUACGGUGUGACGCCUGCCCGGUGCUGGAAGGUUAAUUGAUGGGGUUAUCCGUAAGGAGAAGCUCUUGAUCGAAGCCCCAGUAAACGGCGGCCGUAACUAUAACGGUCCUAAGGUAGCGAAAUUCCUUGUCGGGUAAGUUCCGACCUGCACGAAUGGCGUAAUGAUGGCCAGGCUGUCUCCACCCGAGACUCAGUGAAAUUGAACUCGCUGUGAAGAUGCAGUGUACCCGCGGCAAGACGGAAAGACCCCGUGAACCUUUACUAUAGCUUGACACUGAACAUUGAGCCUUGAUGUGUAGGAUAGGUGGGAGGCUUUGAAGUGUGGACGCCAGUCUGCAUGGAGCCAACCUUGAAAUACCACCCUUUAAUGUUUGAUGUUCUAACGUGGCCCCAUCAUCUGGGGUGCGGACAGUGUCUGGUGGGUAGUUUGACUGGGGCGGUCUCCUCCCAAAGAGUAACGGAGGAGCACGAAGGUUGGCUAAGCAUGGUCGGACAUCAUGCGGUUAGUGCAAAGGCAUAAGCCAGCUUGACUGCGAGAGUGACGGCUCGAGCAGGUACGAAAGUAGGUCUUAGUGAUCCGGUGGUUCUGAAUGGAAGGGCCAUCGCUCAACGGAUAAAAGGUACUCCGGGGAUAACAGGCUGAUACCGCCCAAGAGUUCAUAUCGACGGCGGUGUUUGGCACCUCGAUGUCGGCUCAUCACAUCCUGGGGCUGAAGUAGGUCCCAAGGGUAUGGCUGUUCGCCAUUUAAAGUGGUACGCGAGCUGGGUUUAGAACGUCGUGAGACAGUUCGGUCCCUAUCUGCCGUGGGCGUUGGAAGAUUGAAAGGGGCUGCUCCUAGUACGAGAGGACCGGAGUGGACGCACCACUGGUGUUCGGGUUGUCAUGCCAAUGGCACUGCCCGGUAGCUAAGUGCGGAAGAGAUAACCGCUGAAAGCAUCUAAGCGGGAAACUUGCCUUGAGAUGAGUCUUCCCUGACUCUUUAAGGGUCCUAAAGGAACGUUUAAGACUAAGACGUUGAUAGGCUGGGUGUGUAAGCGUAGCGAUACGUUGAGCUAACCAGUACUAAUGAACCGUGAGGCUUAACCUG
This 2906-nucleotide ribosomal RNA is filed under the name Providencia stuartii. RNAcentral's name for it is "23S ribosomal RNA". It matches the Rfam family "Bacterial large subunit ribosomal RNA". Lineage: Bacteria; Pseudomonadati; Pseudomonadota; Gammaproteobacteria; Enterobacterales; Morganellaceae. RNAcentral also lists the same sequence under 1 other name. The record is from RNAcentral.